This 89-nucleotide small RNA is filed under the name Flavobacterium noncentrifugens. Its description in RNAcentral is "Flavo-1 RNA". It matches the Rfam family "Flavo-1 RNA". Lineage: Bacteria; Pseudomonadati; Bacteroidota; Flavobacteriia; Flavobacteriales; Flavobacteriaceae. The record is from Rfam by way of RNAcentral.
AAGUAGGCGCGUUAGGGAUUGAGGCGGUAUCCUUUUUAUUGCGCCCGAAAGGCGAAAAUAAAAAGAUAUAGCCGAAAGCCCGGCCGCAG